GACGAACGCUGGCGGCGUGCUUAACACAUGCAAGUCGAACGGAAAGGCCCUGCUUUUGUGGGGUGCUCGAGUGGCGAACGGGGGAGUAACACGUGUGUAACCUGCCCUUGACUUUGGGAUAACUUCAGGAGACUGGGGCUAAUACCGGAUAGGAUCUCCUGCUGCAUGGUGGGGGUUGGAAAGUUUCGGCGGGUGGGGAUGGACUCGCGGCUUAUCAGCUUGUUGGUGGGGUAGUGGCUUACCAAGGCUUUGACGGGUAGCCGGCCUGAGAGGGUGACCGGCCACAUUGGGACUGAGAGACGGCCCAGACUCCUACGGGAGGCAGCAGUGGGGAAUAUUGCACAAUGGGCGGAAGCCUGAUGCAGCAACGCCGCGUGCGGGAUGACGGCCUUCGGGUUGUAAACCGCUUUCGCCUGUGACGAAGCGUGAGUGACGGUAAUGGGUAAAGAAGCACCGGCUAACUACGUG
This 468-nucleotide ribosomal RNA is filed under the name uncultured bacterium. RNAcentral's name for it is "partial 16S ribosomal RNA". It matches the Rfam family "Bacterial small subunit ribosomal RNA", at positions 28 to 507 of the family's 1533-position model. The record is from RNAcentral.